GACGAACGCUGGCGGCGUGCUUAACACAUGCAAGUCGAGCGGUAAGGCCCUUUCGGGGGGUACACGAGCGGCGAACGGGUGAGUAACACGUGGGUGACCUGCCCUCAGCUCUGGGAUAAGCCUGGGAAACCGGGUCUAAUACUGGAUAUGACUCCAUGACGCAUGUUGUGGGGUGGAAAGCCUUGUGCGGCUGAGGAUGGGCCCGCGGCCUAUCAGCUUGUUGGUGGGGUGANGGCCUACCAAGGCGACGACGGGUAGCCGGCCUGAGAGGGCGACCGGCCACACUGGGACUGAGACACGGCCCAGACUCCGUACGGGAGGCAGCAGUGGGGGAAUCUUGCGCAAUGGGCGAAAGCCUGACGCAGCGACGCCGCGUGAGGGAUGACGGCCU
RNAcentral lists this ribosomal RNA (391 nucleotides) under uncultured bacterium. Its description in RNAcentral is "bacterial SSU rRNA". It matches the Rfam family "Bacterial small subunit ribosomal RNA", at positions 28 to 417 of the family's 1533-position model. The record is from RNAcentral.